UUACUGAGUUUUUUUCUUGUCUGUCGAGCCAAUCGAAGAUUUGAUGACGUUUAUUUGAGUCUUUCUUCUGCUCAGUCAGCAACAGUGGAUUGAAUGGACCAAUAGCCCAUAGAUUAAAGCCAUUAACUUCUUUGGCUACUAAAUCAAGGUAUAAACCUUCUAUUGCUCUGGAUGAAUUGUAAAGUUCUCCAGAGCAAAUUUUCCCUUCAAUGGGUUGUUGUUUAUUCCACAAUUCCCAUAACUCUGUGGUAGCACAGUCUUCAAUUGAUGGAAUGUCCUCGAAUAUUUCAGUUUCAGCCUCGAAAGGUUUUCCUCUGGCUUCCCAGUUGGAUGAAUGCAUAUAGAAAGCUGAGAUACUAUUAAAACGGUAGCACUCAGCAUUUGGAAUUGUUGGUACAUCCUGUACUACCCAAGUCAUCAGAGAAUCAUAAAUAACAAUCACUCUCCUAUGAUUGGCGCCUAAGAGUUGGCGUACAAGAGAGCACACUGGCUCACGGUGAUGGAUUGUUGCGUAAAGUAGAGGCAUAAAAUGGUUAGGAAAUUUAUGAGAAGCAUUUGGAUUUGGAGGUGCGUUUUCAAAAGGUGGCGUAGGGAAUUCAUGAAAAUGUAGGUUUUUAGUUGCAAGAGGGUCGAAAGAGUGGACAAUGAAACUUAGCCUGGUGAAUAUGAGUGGUUGCUCCAACAUAGUGUACUGGGAUAUCAUACGAGGAGAUGAUCCUCGAGAGGUGGAGUAGCUGAUUGAGAUGGCCUUGUGCUGGAAGUGGCACCAUAACUAAAAUUUAAUGAAUAAUAACUAAAAUUAUAUACUCCCUCUGUUCAUUUUUACUUGUCACAUUUCGUUUCAUAAGAAUUAAAUAUAUAUUUAACUAAUCUUCAAAGCUUAAUUGGGAUAUCAUUGUGAUCUCAGUCGAAGUUACAUCCUCAUCAUCAUCAUUGUAAAAAAACAAAUAUGUUAAUUUCAAGUAUAAGGAUCACUUGACAAGUCUGUGCAUCAAAGCAAUAUCUAUAUUAGUUUUGUGGUCCGUAUAAAAACCGCAAUCUUCAGAUUCUUUCGAUCGUAGGACAAAAUACUAGGAAUAUUAUGCAAGGGAGAAAGCUUUAGUCAGGAGCGGACGCAGAUACUUCAUUAUGUAGUAUUAUGCAUGUUGGACAGUCACAGUACUUUGCUCCAUUAUUUGAACAACACCCGUGCCUCAUCUAGUUGUUCUAACCAAUUAUUUGCUCGUUCUGCAGACUUAACAGAUAUAUUCACUUCAUUACUGAAUCUAAUAAGAUCCUUACCUGCAGUCCUAUUCUCUUUGCUUUUAGAAUCUUUGAGACACCAACUCAGUGGUACAGAGUUAUCUCAACUUAAGACGAGCUUAAUGCCCUAAUGCACAAAGCAUCCGGCAUUGGCAGGGUCCAAGAAAGGGCCGCACCCUAAGAGGUGUGAUGUAGACAGCCUAACCUAAUGCAAGCAUUAGUGGCUGCUUCCACGGCUCGAACUCCUAACCUAUAGGUUACACUGAGACAACUUUGCUGUUGCUCCAAGGUUCCCCUUCAGAAAGAUGAUCUGUGUUCAGCAUUUUACUUAAGAGAUUAGCUAUUGAAUAGACCCUCAGCUCAAGUAAAGCAUCUCAAAGCAGUAUGAAGAAGGAAUAUGGAAAUGAAAGCAGUGACAGCAACGAAAUAUAGGCUAUGGAAAGCAGUACAUAGUGUACAAAGAAAGAACAAUAACAACAGUGAACUAAUGCGAUAAUGGAAGCACAGGAAACACAAAUGAUAAAAACAAUCGACGAACAAGAAACUAUGAAAAUAGUGCUAAUACUGCUGGUAAGAGAGUAAAUACCUAUACCACCACCUAUCCUACCUAACAGAAAAGCGAGAGAACUACCAACUAACGUUCUACUCUAAUUCGCGACCUCCAAACCCUCCUACCACUUAUGCUAACAAGAUGGUAGUGUACAACCAAUUUUUCAAUUCGCAAGAGACAGUUAUCGAGUAAUAUGUGCGAUAAAAGAAUCCAUCUCCGUACUUUUACCUCCCCCAUCCAUGACUGAUUGUUUGACAAUAACACUUAAUUCUGACGCUCUCUUCCUCAUCUCAUCCCCAGCAGGUGAUCCCAUCAAAGUUCUUACAGAAUUUUCAACUAUUUCUGAUGUAACCAGCUCAUCUCGACGUUCCCAAUGCCUCACAAUUAGGCCGAUUUUUAGGAACUUUGUUACCAACUGAGAAUUCCUUGGCUGAUCAGAAUGCAUUGGCCAGGCUGCUAUUGGAACUCCCAUUGAAAUACUUUCCAUGCAUGAGUUCCAUCCGCAAUGACUCAUAAAACCACCUGUGGAAGGAUGUGCCAGUAUUUCCAACUGAGGUGCCCAAUCUCUUACAAUAAUUCCUCUUUCUUUUAUUCUUUCUUCAUAACCUUCAGGCAGCUGAGCUCUCCUUUCUUCACCAGCAAAAAUAUCUCCUUUUUCAGCAUCUCUGAUAACCCAAAUGAACUUUAGCAUACUUUUCUCUAACCCGAUGGCAAGUUCUUCAAUUUCUUCAUUAGACAAGGAAGUAGUUGUUCCAAAAGACACAUAUAUUACCGAAUUCUUUUCUUGUUUAUCAAGCCAGAGCAAGGUUUGAUGGUGCUUAUUUGAGUCUUUGUUCUGCUCAGUCAGCAACAGUGGAUUGAAUGGACCAAUAGCCCAUAGGUUUAAGCCAUUCAUUUCUUGGGCUACUAAAUCAAGGUAUAAACCUUCUAUUGCUCUGGAUGAAUUGAAAAGCUCUCCGGAGCUAACUUUCCUGUGAAGGGAUUCCAUUUUAUUCAAAAAAUCCCAUAACUCUGGGAUAGCACAGUUUUCAAUUGAUGGAAUGUCCUCGAAUAAUUCAGUUCCAGCUUGGAAAGGUUUUCCUCUGGCUUCCCAGAUGGCUGAAAACGUAUGGAUGGCUGAGACACUAUUAAAACGGUAGCACUCGGCAUUUGGAAUUGCUGGUACAUCCUUUACUACCCAAGUCAUCAGAGAAUCAUAAAUAACAAUCACUCUCCUAUGAUUGGCGCCUAAGAGUUGGCGUACAAGAGAGCACAUUGGCUCAUGGAGAUGGAUUGUUGCGUAAAGAAAAGGCAUUAAAUGGCUAGGAAGUUUAUGAGAAGCAUUAUGAUUUGGACGUGGAUUUUCAAAAGGUGGCAUAGGGAAUUCAUGAAAAUGUAGGUUUUUAGCUGUGAGAGGGUCGAAAUCAUGGACACGAAACUUAGCCUGGCGAAUAUGAGUGGUCGCGCCAACAUAGUGUACUGGGAUCUUAUACGAGGUUAUGAGCCUCGAGAGGUGGAGAAGCUGGUUGAGAUGGCCUUGUGCUGGAAGUGGCACCAUAACCACAGCCACUGGUGCAUCAUGAAAACUCAUUUGGCCGUCGCUUUUUGGUGUGUAGUUCUCAUCCAUUGGGAAAUGUUUAAAAAUUUUGCAGUUCUAUGAGAUUCUUUAGCUUCUGAAAUGUGUUGAGUUACAUGUAGCCUAGAUGAAAACAUAGAUGUUCUUAUAAUGCUUGAAUCCAAAGGUAACUAGUAUUUUCUGGUGGGCUGCUAAAAGACGUAAUCAUUAAUGAGGUACACAAAACAUGUGGUGGCUAAUAGGACACCUUAUCAACAAUAAGAACCACAUAUCUAGCAGUCACAAUCAGUUUAUCUUUUCUAUUAUUUUCUUAGUUAUAAAAUUCCUAAGAAGUAUGGAAGGUUAUGUUUUAAGUUGAUUUACUCACCUGUAAGUAUUUAUCCUCCGAGACACAUGUUUUUCCAUUAAACUGUUGUUGGUGUAGAUAAAUAUUUUUCUGUUUAAGUUUUUGUUGCUAUGUGAAACUAUCGCUUGUUUCUGUAAUUAUUUAGCCUUUGAACAGGAAUUUAUUCAUAUUUUCUUUCGGUUUAACUAUCCAGCAACUAUCUGGUACCUAAUGGCACAAUUAAUUCAAAUUCGCCUCCCGUAGAGUCUAUCAUUAAAGGAGGAAAUGUUUUCAAUCAGAAUUUCUCCAUUUUCAGGUAUCAAACAUGAGACCUCUGAUUGGUGAUGGAGAGAUCACAUUCAUUCCACCACUUUUAUCAUAUACUCCAUGAAUUUAAAGGAUAUUCAUUUUACAAUGAUAGUGGUUCGAAGGAGAAUAGUGUCUUUUUCUCCUUUUUGCAACAAUAAACCUCGCCAUGAAAUCCCCAGCAUGUAUGUUUCCCAUUUCCACUAGUUGGCUCAUCUUGAGCUCUAGAUGUUUCACUAUUUGCUCAAUCACUUUCCUUCUUUAUAUCUCCAGUUGCAACGGAGCAAAUUUCUAUGUCAAAUACGAGUAUCAAGAAAGCCUUUUCAUACAGAGAAAGAGGACCUGAGCUCUUCCUUAUUUGUCUAGAUGAGAAAAAGAGUAUUCUAUUAAUCUUGAGAAAAAAUUGUAACGUAUACCUAAAAAGAUUGUCUAUUCCUACCAACAUGAGUAGCCGGGAAAAAUAUCAGAUACAAGGUCAUAGAAUGGAAGACAAGCUCCAACAGACCUGGAAGAACAAUAAUAUGUCAUUCAGGUCAUAAGCAAAAGUUCUUGAAAGAUUACACAAAGAGCUUCCAAUAUUUUAUAUCUUUGUCUACGUGAACUAGUUGCUAGUAAAGGAGGAGCUUCACUUUUAUACUAGAAAAUACAAGGAACUCAAAGGAAAAAGGUUUUUAUCCUUCGACAUACAUGUGUGAUGUGCAUAAAUGGGGGCCAGUAGGGAGGAUACUGAACCCACUCGGAUUCAUUGAUGAAGUAUCAUAGGUUGUACCACUUAAGCUAACUGGAUGGAAGUGUGCAACCAACUGUUCAAUUCAAGUGAGAAAGUUAUCGAGUAAUGUGUGCGAUAAAAGAAUCCAUCUCCACACUGUUCCCUCCCCCAUCCAGGACUGAUUGUUUGACAGCAAUGCUCAGUUCUGCUGCUCUCUUCCUCAUCUCAUCUCCCUCAGGUGAAGCCAUCAAAGUUCUCACGGCAUUUUCAAUUAUUUCUGAUGUAACCAGUUCAUCUCGAUGUGCCCAAUGUCUCACAUUCAGGCCGAUUUUCAGAACCUUUGUUAUCAGCUGAGAAUUCCUUGGUUGAUCUGAAUGCAUUGGCCAGGCUGCUAUAGGAACUCCCAUGGAAAUACUUUCCAUGCACGAAUUCCAUCUGCAAUGACUCACAAAACCGCCUGUGGAAUUAAGUAUGUGCCAAUAUUUCCAGCUGAGGCGCCCAAUCUCUUACAAUAACUCCUCUUCCUUUUAGCCUCACUUCAUAACCUUCAGGCAGCUGAACUCUCCUUUCUUCACCAGCAGAAACAUCUCCUUUGUCAGCAUCUCUGAGAACCCAAAUGAACUUUUGCAUACUUUUCUCCAACCCGAUGGCAAGUUCUUCGAUUUCUUUAUCAGACAAGGAAGAAGUAGUUCCAAAAGACACAUAUAUUACUGAAUUUUUUUCUUGUCUGUCGAGCCAAUCGAAGAUUUGAUGACGUUUCUUUGAGUCUUUCUUCUGCUCAGUCAGCAACAGUGGAUUGAAUGGACCAAUAGCCCAUAGAUUAAAGCCAUUAACUUCUUUGGCUACUAAAUCAAGGUAUAAACCUUCUAUUGCUCUGGAUGAAUUAUAAAGUUCUCCAGAGCAAAUUUUCCCUUCAAUGGGUUGUUGUUUAUUCCACAAUUCCCAAAACUCUGGGGUAGCACAGUCUUCAAUUGAUGGAAUGUCCUCGAAUAUUUCAGUUUCAG
This 5691-nucleotide long non-coding RNA is filed under the name Capsicum annuum. RNAcentral's name for it is "long non-coding RNA (CANN_LNC016623)". Lineage: Eukaryota; Viridiplantae; Streptophyta; Magnoliopsida; Solanales; Solanaceae. The record is from RNAcentral.